UCGUGUAUUAUUACGUUUGAAAUUCAGAUUGCCAGUGGACAGUCCGAAACAAAAAACAAUUCUCAACUAUUUUUUUUCCUCGGCGGCAAUCUGAAUAAUUUAUGACGAUGGUGUAGUACUACUGUCGACCGGUUACAUGCAACAACGAUGCCGCGCUUCAAAACGCAUUGGCGUCACGUCGGUUUCCGUUUCGAUAUCGCCAAGUAAUCACGACCAGACGAUAAGACCUCCUGGCGUUCCGUACGGCCACAACACGAACCGUAUCAUAGUAUUGUGCGCCGCGAACAACGUUGUGGUACACACCGUACAGACGUCUAUAAAUGCACCGUAAACGAAUACCACUUGUUAUCUCGUUGGACUGCGCAAUAGCAAUUAAAUAAUUUGCCCGCGUACGAUUACCACCUCAAUGACCGUGUGAGAAUUACCGUUUUGGUAGCCAAUGGAAACACCAUCUCAGUGUUGCGACAUCGGCAUAUGACAAUUAGCCACCCCGAGUAUUUUACUUAACAGUUGCUAGAGAUCCAAAUCUACACUCUUCCGACAGCUCAUCAAAGAACUAGAAUAUAUUUGAUAAAAGGUAGAUCCCAUUGAGAAUAGAUAACUACCGGGCAAACACCAAGUUAUUUAACCAACUUUAAUGUCUAACGAGAACCUUAAAAUGGGCAACUUCAAACCUGCUAAUCGAGACAGUGAAACGUCAAGAGGACUACGGUAGAGGAUAUUAGGACUUGAAGUAAAUUGCGUUGUUUCGCCAACGUAAGAUCAAUUUCAGCAGAUUUAAUGAACAAUAAAGAUCUCUUUAAUUGUGUGUUGUCUAUACUUAUGCAUCAUACUUGUGUCACGUACGAUCAUAUUCAAUUAUAGUAAUUUUACAGGUUUUUUUAUUAAAAAUUUUUAGUGCAAUGAAAAUCAUAUCCCAGAUGACGAUAGAUCGUAUUUUAAACAAAAUUCUCUGUUGAAAUUUGCACUUGAUUAUUAUGUUCUUCAAACAUUGUUACGAGAAGAAAAUUGACGUAUUUUAUUUCAGAAUUUUUUAGGGCGACAAUAAGCUAAAUUUAAUACAUUUCUGUAGUCGCAUACUGUCAAAUUAAAUGAACAAAUUGACUUAAUCGAACCUAAAUGUACUCGCGGUUAUUCAAAUACGCGUAAAGACUUGAGUUUUACGUUGUAAAAAGUAAAUUCUGUAUACAUAUUUUGACUUGAACGAAAUUUUUAUCACUGUUUUUAUUCGGAAAUUUAGUUGCUUUUAAUUAAUAGUAACAAAUUUAGUAUCGCAAACUCAUAACAGGUGCAAUACUGAUAAAUAAUGGCUAAAGCAUCAACAGCUAAUAACACAUUGUGAGUUUUUUUUUUAUAAGCGAGUUUAAUGACCUUAUAUUAUUAUUGUUAUCGUAUAUUUUUUGAUUUUUGAAAUUGGAAACGCGCCGAAAUGACAUGAACGUCCAUGAGAGAUGUACGCCACAUGUUGGCGACUCGAGUUCUUUUAGAGACAAAAAAGUUGCCGACCGAGGGAAACAAUAAUGUAUACAUUUGCAAAAUGAAUGGAAACAAUAAACAUGUAUAUAGCGACGAGUAGGUCACAGAUGUAUUGUAAUGAAAAUGUGAUAUGUACAUCUGAAAAAGUACGGAAACCGACUUGGAAAUUUCAAUUACAAUACAGGUGUCGGUUGUAAAGAGUAGAACACAAAAAUUGAACGGAGGCACGUUUCCGUUAAAAAAAACCAUAGAUACACACGCGCGCUUAAACAUAUCAACCUAGUUUCAAUAACAAAUACAUACAAAUAUACCAAUUCUUGUGCACGUGUAGCCAAUCAUACGAAUAUCGUCAUGAUGUUUUUGAAAUCUCCAACUUGGUAUAUUGCUAAAAGUUUAUCUAUUUUUGCCAUCUUCGUGUUAAUCUACGUACUUUCCACACAGUCGCAGUUUAUCGAUAAAUUUUUAAUUUAAAACAAUAAAUUUUCAAAAAAAACAUUUCCUUAAAUAUUCUAUUCUGCCGAAAGUUCGAUGGCGAUUGAAUAAUACGCUGUACAGCAUUGCACGCACACAAAACGUGCAUAUUUUAAGUUCAUCAAUAGCUUUUCGACCAAAUUUUAAUAAUUCGAAUGAUACUAGUUUGCAUUUUAUUAUUCCACAGAUUCCUAUAAAAUUUGAACAGUAACCACAGUACACCGUAGCACAAUAAUUAUAGUUGAAUGUUAAAAUAAUAUUUUACCGGAGAAAAAUUAUGCAAAGAGUAAAUGGUAAAGGCGAAAUCAUUCGUAUAAAUCACUGUAUUUACUAAGUACACUAAAAAUACAAAUUACUGAAGACUUGCUCCCAACUCUGGUGACACAAAAGUCUUCUAUAGACAAAUUUUAACUCCCUAAAUCAUUUUCACGUAAAAACCACGUCGAAGAGGUAGGGAAAAGUUAUCGUGAUAAAAAAAAAGACGUUUGGUCAGCUUAAAUAUACCAGUUAAGUUCUUUUUGAUAGUUUUCCCUAUUUCGACUAUUGAAUACAAAAUAAAUCUGGUUCUCAUUAAGAAAAAAGCUAAAUUUAAACCCAAUUUUAAUAUAUGCAUGGUUAAAAAUUAUACAAAGAGAAAAACGAUGAAAUAAUAAAUUAAAAUUAUAUUAUGUCUUUUGCACGUUAUUAAUAUUGCCCACGUUAGUAAUAUUAUUAACAUUUGAUUAUUUAUUUUUUUAUUUUUAAUUCAGCCUUCACUGGUAUUUUUAGAACAGUAAAAGGAAAUCGAGAAUUAUUGAAAAACACUUUCGACGUAGACAAUUUCAAGUCGUAUUGGUUUUUACAAAUUACCUAAGAAACAGCAAAAGAUAACUCCAAUUAGGUUUUGAUAUAAAUGUUGAGGGCUAUAUUGCGGCGUUUAACAAGUAGAGUUAUAUAUUGCGGUGAAUGGAGUAUAAAUUUUCUUUUGUUCUUUAAAAGCACCGAAUCUGUUUAUAACGACAUUGAAUAAAAUGAUUAAUAAACUAAUUAGCUAACGCCUCUUAAGUGUGUGGACGGGUAUCCAUUUACAAUUUGCUAUUGACCUGACUUGGAUAGUAUCGUGCGAUUUUUAAGUAAAUUGCCAAAUGUCUCUCGAGCAUGUUCGCAAUUACUGCAAGACUUUCCCUAAGCUCUAAUUGCUGAACUGUUUGUUUUAUUUACUAGCGAAAUUUCAAAUAAACGCAGUAAUAAUUGAUCACUACUACAACAUAUUGUAACAUUAAAAAUCCAUUAGUUAAAUAAACAGAUAUCAUUAUAGUUGAAAAUAAAUUUAAAUAUCAGCAAUUUAGGUACUAUUAUACUAGUUUCACACGUCUUCACAAAAAAUAAUAUGAACAAUAUUUUUUGUUAUUGUAUUCCGGGGCAAAUAUUUCAAAGACUAAGCCUGAAACGAAUAACAUAAAAUACAAUAUUACGGACCAUUGUGGAGAAGAGUGCAGAGGGAUUCAGGUACAAUGAUUACUAUAUGGUCGCGGUGGAAACAGUGUCUAUGGUUAGGAUCCGUCAUCAACCGUAGUCACCUCCACCCUCGCACAAUACAUUAUUUUCCAAACCGUUAUCGAAUUUAUACGCGGGACAGUCACAAAAGAACAAUAAUGGAUCACUUUUAAGAUUCUUAUCGAAAGAAAAGAACCGUGUGCGGAUAAAAAAAAUCUUGCUGCCGUCCAUUUAAUUUCAAUUGGGAGCACAAACCGCCGACGAUGACAUUUACAAACUGUGAUGUAGCGUAUGAAGUGUCAAGCAGAAAAUAAUGUGAGCAGGUGGAUUUUUGUGUCAUUCACAGACACUUCUUCCUUUUGACCGUCUUUUAUACAAACAUUAUACAAGUUCAUAAAACAGAAAUGAAAACAGAAGUCAUUAGAGUUAAUUCUAUCGAGAAAUCGCACAAAAAGGAAAAUUAAAUUCCAGGAAAGCAAUUAAGCGAAUAACGAUUGACAAUAACUACAAUAGACCACACAUAAAACAACCGAUUGACUUAAUUCUUCGAAAUGAUUAAUAAAUUUAAUAUUUACAAUUUCGUUUGUUUGUUUUCUAGAUAGAUUUUCAUACAUUUUACAUUUCAAGUACCAUUUAAUCCUUCUAUUUGCUCUUUAUGCGUA
Daktulosphaira vitifoliae (grape phylloxera) is the source of this 4085-nucleotide long non-coding RNA. RefSeq lists it as uncharacterized. The transcript has 3 exons. The record is from RefSeq and is a predicted model, not a curated record. NCBI's taxonomy places the organism in Eukaryota, Metazoa, Arthropoda, Insecta, Hemiptera, Phylloxeridae.